AAUAAACUAAAUAAAAUUACAUUUAAAUCCACCUUCAAUAAAAUAUUUCAAUUUUAUAUUCAUUUAAAUAAAUUUAUUGUAAUCCAUUAUAUUCUUAAUUAUAAUCUACAUCUUGAUCUGAAUUAAUUUUUUAUUUUAAUUUUUAAAUAUUAUAUUUUAUAAAAAAUAUUUUUUUAACAACGAUAUAUAAAAUUUUAAAUUAAGUAAAUUUAUUCGUGGAUUAUCAAUUAUUAAACAGAUUCCUCUAAAUGAACUAAAAUACCGCCAUAUUAUUUAAGUUUCAAUAAAUAAUUAUUUACUAUUUUAGUAUUAUAAUUUAAAUUUUUAAUAAUAGGGUAUCUAAU
Molecule: ribosomal RNA, 344 nt
Filed under: Danaus plexippus (monarch butterfly)
Lineage: Eukaryota; Metazoa; Arthropoda; Insecta; Lepidoptera; Nymphalidae
Also listed under: 1 other name
Description: partial 12S ribosomal RNA
Source: RNAcentral